This is a long non-coding RNA of Hordeum vulgare subsp. vulgare (domesticated barley), 220 nucleotides long. RefSeq lists it as uncharacterized. The transcript has 3 exons. Lineage: Eukaryota; Viridiplantae; Streptophyta; Magnoliopsida; Poales; Poaceae. The record is from RefSeq and is a predicted model, not a curated record.
GAGGAUAACGGAUGUUACUGCUGAGUGUGCCUCACAGGCUAUGAAGCUGGCAUCAUCUAUCGAUAGUGAUAUCAAUGAAGCAUCUAAACUGGACGGGGCGACAUUGGAAAAGAAAAUUGGGUCCAUCAAGAAUACACUGGAUGCAGCUGCUAUCCCAGCUGCAAGAAAAGCUGAUCUAAAAGGCAAUGUCUCAAAGCUGGAGGAGCAACUUAGGGGGGUU